RNAcentral lists this ribosomal RNA (255 nucleotides) under uncultured bacterium. RNAcentral describes it as "partial 16S ribosomal RNA". It matches the Rfam family "Bacterial small subunit ribosomal RNA", at positions 99 to 354 of the family's 1533-position model. The record is from RNAcentral.
CGGACGGGUGAGUAACGCGUGGGUAACCUGGCCCAUACAGGGGGAUAACACUUAGAAAUAGGUGCUAAUACCGCAUAAGCGCACAGAGCCGCAUGGCUCAGUGUGAAAAACUCCGGUGGUGUAAGAUGGAUCCGCGUCUGAUUAGCUGGUUGGCGGGGUAGAAGCCCACCAAGGCGACGAUCAGUAGCCGGCCUGAGAGGGUGAACGGCCACAUUGGGACUGAGACACGGCCCAAACUCCUACGGAAGGCAGCAG